UACGGAAGGUCCGGGCGUUAUCCGGAUUUAUUGGGUUUAAAGGGAGCGUAGGCCGGAGAUUAAGCGUGUUGUGAAAUGUAGAUGCUCAACAUCUGCACUGCAGCGCGAACUGGUUUCCUUGAGUACGCACAAAGUGGGCGGAAUUCGUGGUGUAGCGGUGAAAUGCUUAGAUAUCACGAAGAACUCCGAUUGCGAAGGCAGCUCACUGGAGCGCAACUGACGCUGAAGCUCGAAAGUGCGGGUAUCGAACAGGAUUAGAAACCCCUGUAGUGACUACU
Molecule: ribosomal RNA, 278 nt
Filed under: Segatella copri DSM 18205
Lineage: Bacteria; Pseudomonadati; Bacteroidota; Bacteroidia; Bacteroidales; Prevotellaceae
Description: Prevotella copri DSM 18205 partial 16S ribosomal RNA
Rfam family: Bacterial small subunit ribosomal RNA
Source: RNAcentral